RNAcentral lists this ribosomal RNA (254 nucleotides) under uncultured bacterium. RNAcentral's name for it is "partial 16S ribosomal RNA". It matches the Rfam family "Bacterial small subunit ribosomal RNA", at positions 524 to 776 of the family's 1533-position model. The record is from RNAcentral.
UACGAAGGGGGCUAGCGUUGCUCGGAAUGACUGGGCGUAAAGGGCGCGUAGGCGGAUGGCACAGUCAGAUGUGAAAUUCCCGGGCUUAACCUGGGGGCUGCAUUUGAUACGUGUGAUCUAGAGUGAGGAAGAGGGUCGUGGAAUUCCCAGUGUAGAGGUGAAAUUCGUAGAUAUUGGGGAAGAACACCGGUGGCGAAGGCGGCGACCUGGUCCUUGACUGACGCUGAGGCGCGAAAGCGUGGGGAGCAAACAGG